GGCCAGACUCCUACGGGAGGCAGCAGUGAGGAAUAUUGGUCAAUGGUCGGGAGACUGAACCAGCCAAGCCGCGUGAGGGAGGAAGGUACAGAGUAUCGUAAACCUCUUUUGUCAGGGAACAAAGGCGGGGACGUGUCCCCGGAUGAGUGUACCUGAAGAAAAAGCAUCGGCUAACUCCGUGCCAGCAGCCGCGGUAAUACGGAGGAUGCGAGCGUUAUCCGGAUUUAUUGGGUUUAAAGGGUGCGCAGGCGGUCUGUUAAGUCGGGGGUAAAAGCCGGGGGCUCACCCCCGGCGAGCCGUUGAAACUGGCUGUCUUGAGAUGUCGAGAGGUAUGCGGAAUGCGCAGUGUAGCGGUGAAAUGCAUAGAUAUCACGCAGAACUCCGAUUGCGAAGGCAGCAUACCGGCGCCCAACUGACGCUGAAGCACGAAAGCGUGGGUAUCGAACAGGAUUAGAUACCCUCGUACU
This 467-nucleotide ribosomal RNA is filed under the name uncultured bacterium. RNAcentral describes it as "bacterial SSU rRNA". It matches the Rfam family "Bacterial small subunit ribosomal RNA", at positions 329 to 794 of the family's 1533-position model. The record is from RNAcentral.